CUACACGGGAAAUUUCUUCUUUCACCAUCUGUUUCAGGUGGCCACCACACGCGCUAGAAAAACAGUACUCUUUCAGAUUCCGAGCCGUUCACAACGGGCUGCGCGUUGGUCGUGUGUUGUUUCAGGAAGUACGACUUCCGCAAGUGUGUGAGUGAGCGACAAAAUCGUCCCGCUAAGCUAAUUAGAGCAUCCGAUCCAGCAAGGAUUAAAUGGCCAAGAUGAAUUAUCUAGUGUUCUUGUUAUUAUUUGGAUGCCAGCUGCUUGCCAGAGCUGAUGAUUUACUCGAUUCCGAGGAGCCUCCUGAGGGUUACUAUGCCUUCAUAGAGUCACCAUCGGCCGUUCCGCCGAAGGUUCGGUCUCCGCCCUAUACUCACAUCAACAUCGACUGCAAGGAUGCCACCAAUCCCAAGCCAUACGUGUCCGCGAACAACCUCUGCGGAGAUCUGAACAAGGGCAAAAUUCCGCGCAACCCAAUGCGGCAGAGCGUGAUGGGUGAGCCUUAUCCUUUUGAGUUGAUCAGAAAUCAAACAUUGAAGUUUUUGUCAAAAACUUUACCUGUGUUGAAAGCUGAUGAUACGCUUCCCAAGGUUACCCAGAUCAUGCCGGACGAGACUGUGGAUCAAUUUGACGACAAUGGCAUUGCAAACUUGUUUAAUUUAUAUAUUAAAAAGUCCUUAGUAAUUCAAUCGGAAUACCUUUCACGUGCAUAUUACAUUCCAGCAUUGGUCGUCGAAUGGGGAAAGUUAUGCGGAUGACCGAAGAUCGCAGAGAUGAGGAAGAACCCCGAACGCCAAGAAAGUUCUGCGACGGUGGUGGAGUAUUCUGCGCUCUUUACCGCGCUAUACAGGGAGAACCAAUCAGCAGCAAAUUGGUCGCCGAACGACGUGAAGAAAUCCCAAGUGCUUACGCGCCGCCACCACCGCGAUAUGACGGACCCCCUACGCCUUGUCCAGCCAAGGUUGAAUAUGCUACACCGGUGUUCGCUAAGAACUACCAGGGUUCGUGGAGGUACGUCGUCCAAAUCCCGUACGAGGGAUACUUCACUCAAACCGUGGAGGUGACCCGCUGCCUUCAGGCCCGUUGCCAUUAUCUGGACGGUGGUUGCUUGUCCUCUCCUCGAUGGGUUAGCUUGCUUGUUGCUGAAAUUUUCUACCCAAAUGCUGAAGAAUUCACCACUUCGACAUCGACGACCACGGCACCAUCGGUUCAGGACUUCCAGGCUUACCAGCAGUAUCUGCAGAAACGAGCGGGACUUCCCACUGGCGCCGACAGCGGUUCCUAUGAAAACACCAGCAAUCACGCAACUCGUAAGAGCGACCAGCAUUGUGAUGGACACGAUGAAAUCGGGUGCUUCCAGGUUCGCUUGUACUACGAUUGGUUCCUGAUACCUGGUUCGUGCAAAUGCUGGAGACCAGAUUACUUCGCCAAGUACGUUCGGAAGCGACCGACUCCUGAGCUGUAAACUCGAUGAUAGCUGCGCUCAUAAAAGAAAAGAAAUCGCGUACGAAUGUUGAAUGGACUGCAACUUUAUUUAUUUAUUUAUUUUAUCUUAGCUUAUGUAAAUGCUAGAGCGUAAAAUGGAAAUUCAAGUUGGAGCUUAUUCGGGUAAAACAUUUGAAGGCGGUUCUGUGAACGCUUUCUGGCGUGAUCCGGGACGUGUUAUAUCUCUCUAUCUCUUACGCAGAAGAAUUCUCUCUUCUACUCUCAACUUUCCGCUGGUUAUGGUGUUCUGGGACAAUAAUCGCUGCAAUGCGCCAUCGAUGGCAUCCAUUGAGUCGGAUUUAUUUUUAGUUCUAAAGUGAUCUAGAAGUAUGACUGACAACACUGAUCUGCAAAACAGUACUAUACAUUAAACGCUCUUCAUAAGGAACUUUAGGGUAAGCUACAAUAGGUAUCUUUUAAAAGUGCUCUUCUCGUCUACUAGAGUCUGGAUCAACAGAAGCAAUGAUAGAGGAAUAGGUUGUAAAUAUAAAUAUUUUAAAAAUAAA
Molecule: RNA transcript, 1988 nt
Organism: Aedes albopictus (Asian tiger mosquito)
Lineage: Eukaryota; Metazoa; Arthropoda; Insecta; Diptera; Culicidae
Gene: spz6
Exons: 5
Source: RefSeq, a predicted model, not a curated record